Molecule: small RNA, 210 nt
Filed under: Sporothrix schenckii ATCC 58251
Lineage: Eukaryota; Fungi; Ascomycota; Sordariomycetes; Ophiostomatales; Ophiostomataceae
Description: A. fumigatus sRNA Afu_182
Rfam family: A. fumigatus sRNA Afu_182
Source: Rfam by way of RNAcentral
UCAUGAACAACGCAAUUAAAACACGUUUACGAAAUCGAUGACUUAUUGGGGGAACGAGGACCUUGCUCCUCGGAACAAGUAGCUCCCAGGACAUUUUCCUAUCUCUUUUUCGACAAAACGGAGAACAAACCAUAUUUGAACAAUCUUGGGUGCGGCGCUUCCCUGUCCUCUUUUGGGCGGUGGGAAGGGUCGCAAUGAUUGAGCAAACAU